AUGUAUCAGAUGAGAAAGUUGUGGUGUGCUCCAUAUCUUGAGGGGCGUUGUUUCCUAGGAUUGAGCAGCAAUCAAAGGAGUGAGAGCUUGAACUCUGUGCUACAUACGCAUCUUGAGGGUAAGAUGUCGUUGUUUGAAAUGCUAGAGCACUAUGAGCGUUGCCUUGCGUCGCGACGGAUUAACGAAGCUCUCCAUGACGUCGAAGCCUUGCAGUCCGUUCCAUUUACAGAGGAAAAUGCUUCGCCGCUUGAGAAACACGCCGCAACAGUUUUCACACCUAGGGUCUUUAAGAUGGUCUUAUGGAGCAUAGAUGCUGUCAGCAAAUGUCAGAUUGGAGAGAUACUAGAUGGAUCAGAAGAUUCCACUUAUGUUGUGUCCAAGCAGGAAAGAAUGGAUAAAAAGUUUGGAGUGCGCAUUGAAGAGCAAGGAGGUCUUUUGCACAGGGUGAGUUGUUCUUGCCGUAAGCUGGAAUGCGCAGGCACACCAUGUUCCCACAUUUUUUACAUAUUGGGGAUUUUAAAACAAACAAUUCUUCCCGGUUGUUGCGUUCCCACUAGGUGGACUAUGAAUGCAAAAUGU
RNAcentral lists this ribosomal RNA (579 nucleotides) under Triticum aestivum (bread wheat). RNAcentral's name for it is "partial small subunit ribosomal RNA". Lineage: Eukaryota; Viridiplantae; Streptophyta; Magnoliopsida; Poales; Poaceae. The record is from RNAcentral.